UCCCUUAUAACUCAAUUGGUAAAGAAUCUGCCUGCAACGCAGGAGACCUAGGGUCGAUUCCUGGGUUGGGAA
RNAcentral lists this transfer RNA (72 nucleotides) under Bos taurus (domestic cattle). It matches the Rfam family "tRNA". Rfam says of the family: Transfer RNA (tRNA) molecules are approximately 80 nucleotides in length. Their secondary structure includes four short double-helical elements and three loops (D, anti-codon, and T loops). RNAcentral also lists the same sequence under 3 other names. Lineage: Eukaryota; Metazoa; Chordata; Mammalia; Artiodactyla; Bovidae. The record is from Rfam by way of RNAcentral.